This 253-nucleotide ribosomal RNA is filed under the name uncultured bacterium. RNAcentral's name for it is "partial 16S ribosomal RNA". It matches the Rfam family "Bacterial small subunit ribosomal RNA", at positions 524 to 776 of the family's 1533-position model. The record is from RNAcentral.
UACGUAGGGGGCAAGCGUUGUCCGGAUUCAUUGGGCGUAAAGAGCGUGUAGGCGGCCAGACAGGUCCGUUGUGAAAACUCGAGGCUCAACCUCGAGACGUCGAUGGAAACCGUCUGGCUAGAGUCCGGAAGAGGAGUGUGGAAUUCCUGGUGUAGCGGUGAAAUGCGCAGAUAUCAGGAAGAACACCUAUGGCGAAGGCAGCACUCUGGGACGGUACUGACGCUGAGACGCGAAAGCGUGGGGAGCGAACAGG